RNAcentral lists this microRNA (24 nucleotides) under Oreochromis niloticus (Nile tilapia). RNAcentral's name for it is "oni-miR-10928". Lineage: Eukaryota; Metazoa; Chordata; Actinopteri; Cichliformes; Cichlidae. The record is from miRBase by way of RNAcentral.
AAGCACAGACUCUGGCUCAGGACU